Molecule: long non-coding RNA, 5061 nt
Organism: Symphalangus syndactylus (siamang)
Lineage: Eukaryota; Metazoa; Chordata; Mammalia; Primates; Hylobatidae
Source: RefSeq, a predicted model, not a curated record
GCGACUUCCGCACCCGGUACCGGCCCCGCCCCUUGGCGCGCGGAAAUGACGUUUCGGGGCUCAUCUGUUCGGUUUCUGGGGUUGGCCGCGGUGUACGGUUGGUUGACCGAGCUUCUUCAGGUGCUGGUUCGUGUUGCAGCGGCCUCUUGUCUCCCUGGCUCCAGCCGCCCGCUUGGAAAGUCACGCCCCAUAUUCCUAAGCACCGGGCGAACGUCAUCUCGUAUACCCUUUAGCUCCAUUUAAAGCCUUGAAAAGGCCGAGCAGUCUUUCCGAAGUCUUACAUCCCGUACGAGGUAGACCCGAUUCUGAGCCCACGCUCUCAACCCAAAUAAACCUUUUCCGGUGCCCUGAGACCUUUUUCUUCUUUUUGAAAUCCACGAAGUUAUGGACACACUCUCAUCUCCUGAGAAACAGAAGCCUCAUUCUUAGGCCAGAGCUUGGCCUGCCGUCGGCUUGAAUCUCUAGGUCUUUGUCCGGGAUCCUGGUUGAGAACAAGGUUGCGCUGGUGCCAUCUGGGACGCCCCAACUGCGGAGCUCGAGGGGAAGGCUCACUUCACUCUUGAGAGGGCUUUUCCACCCGUGCACCCUCUCGCUGCUCUUUGCCUUCCUCAGAUAGGCUUUCUGAAACUUUGUCAUUCUCUUGGAAGACCAAGAAAAUGACCGCGGUCUGAAGGGCCAGGGAGAUGAGAAUUUCCUAAAGUUCUUUUUUAGCUCUCAGAGGGUGAAUCCAUUCCCUUCUCAUACCCCGAGGCUGUAUUAUUUAUUAUGAAUUCAGUUCAGUCCUGGCUCCGGAGACGUGUCCAGUGUCAAUUGGAUUCAUCCCUCAACAUCAUUCUCUGCUUCAUGAGUCAGUCAUCACCAAGAAAUUCGUUGUUAAUACACAUAAAGGUUCAGAACAACCCCGUGUUCAAGUGUUCACUGUGCUGGCUGUAUGGUAAAGGCACAGAUGGCUGACAUCUCUUAAGCCUGGAAAUGAAGACUUACAGGAAGAGGUGCUGCCUGAGGAAUUAGGCAAGAUAAGGAGUUGGAAGAACACGGACGAGUAAGGAAGAGUGUAGAAAGUGUGAACAGAAUCUCAGGGUCUGAGCCACUGGGUGGACUGUCGUGACCACAGUGAGAUUUUCAGCAGUGUGUGGUCUUUCAUCCAGCUGAUUUGCGUAUAGACAGGGAUGCUAGAUGUCUACCGUCUAGAUGUCCACCUCUGUCAUACAGAUAUUUGGUGUGUCCAGCCUCCUGUUGCAUCUUUGAAAGACCUCAGCAUUUAAUAAUUAGGAGUUUCCAUCUAGAAAUCUGGAUUGCCUGUUUUCUAAAACACUCCUUGCUGCCAUGUCCUCUUUUUCGCCUGGCACUUCCCACCCACUCCAUGCCAUACCUCAUCUGGAAUACCCUUAGCUCCUCUGAAUCCAUCCAGUCCUUCAAGACCAAAUACCUAGUUCUCUUUCAUGAAACCUUCCCUGGUCGCUAUCCUGUAGUGACUUCUUGAGACUCUUCUAACCCUGGCUGUACUUGGGAGCUUUUAAAAAUACAAUGCCCGAACACCACCCCAAGAAAUGAGUUUGCAAUGGAGCCUGGGCAUCCAUUAUUCAUAACAGAGCUGCUUUCCUCUUGAGAAGGGAAGAUACUGUGUAAUAAUGUAGAAGAGAGAUCUUGUUUUGGAAAAUCAGAACUUUAGUUAUUGAUUAGUUGUUGCUAUUUCUGAACCAUAUACCUUGGUAGAUCAUUUAACCCAGCGCUGUCAAAAACAUGCAUACAUGUCACCUGGGAUCUUGUAAGCAGCAAAUUCUGAAUCAGCAUGCCUGAUGGAGCCCAAGCAUCAGCAUUUCUAAUAAGCUUCCAGAUGAUGCUGGUACUGCUUGUCUUCAGACCGGAUCAGGAUACUGGAGAAAACAGUUGGAGCACACACCUGCUAACGUCAGGUCCUACGUUUAUAGCAGCUCUCAAUUCCAGACCUUAGUGCAGACCCCAGAACGGGAAAGUGUUCCCUGGAUAGUUUGGCCCUGGCAUUCAGCCAAGAAAAACAUCUAUGAUUCAAGAAUCAUGACACAGCCAGGACCUGCCACCCUGCAGCUCAGAGGCUUUCUUUUCUUGCAGACAAGGGUGAAGAAGUUAGAGGUCAGUAUACUCUCAGUCCUCAGGGUCUCCAGCCUUCAGCUCUGUAUUGUCAGCUCGUCAGAGAUGUGGGACAGGGCACUGCCAGGCACACUCCCUGUGGGAGCUGGCAGGAAAACCAGGCUGUGCUCAACAACAAGAGAAACAAAGAAAGCAUGAGAGCUGAACUGAGAGAACCCUGCCAUGAGUCAGCCUGGGGCUCUGAGGGGGCAUAAGGCCAGGCUGAUACACAGACACCGCCUACCCUCUGAGUCCCUGAAAUGGAUUUUUUUUGGUCCUAUUGGCCAAUAGGAAGUUGCAUACCAAGAACAAAAAUUCCUGGGAUCACCCACCAAAUCAAGUCAAGCCUGGGCUUUUGGUAUACUGUCUUCCCAGCCACUGAGAGAGAUUUCUGUAAAGAAAGCAUUGUUUUGUUGUUUUGCUUAUUUAUUUAGAGACAUGGUCUCUGGUGGGCAGCUGCUAUGGGUUGAAUUGUAUUCCUCAAAAAACAUAUGUUGAAAUCCUAUCUCUAGUAUCUCAGAUUGUGAGCUUACUUGGAAAUAGAAUCUUUGCAGAUUUAGCUAAGUUAAGAUGGGGUCACUGGUGCCCUUAUAAAAAAGGCAAAUUUGAACAUACAUGUAGAGGGCAAUGGUGUGUAGACACAGGGAGAACACGGUGUUAUUACAGAGGAUCGCGUGAAGCAGCUACUGCCCCAGAAAGACUAAGGCUUCCAGAAGCCGGGAGAGAGGACUGGAACAGUUCCUUCCCUAGCACCCUCAGAGGGAGCACAGCUGUGCCAACACCUUGGGUUUUGGACUCCUGGCCUCCAGAACUGUGAGACAACAAAUUUCCAUUGUUUUAGGCCACCCAGUUUGUUGUUUGAUAUUCUGUUAUGGCAGCUCUAGAAAAUGAAUACAGCAGCAAUGGACAUAGGUUCACUGUAGUUUGUUGUAAAAUUAUAUUGAGAAGACAAUUUUCAGGGUCUCUGAGGGUUUCAUAAAGGUUUUCUAUUUCCCAAGCAAGUCCUCAGGAAAUAGCCAGGGAGCCAGACACAUGUGUGUACAAAUCUCAGCUUCACCAUUUAUUAUCUACUUGACUUUGGGCAAGAACCUAAGUCUCUCUAGAGCAUUCUUCAUCCUUCAGCGAAGGCUAUGAAACUCUUCCUAAGGCCGUCUGAAGAGUGAAUGAGGUCGUGUUUUCUAAAUUGUUUAUUGUGUGGCCUCACACAUGGUGGCCUGUCAAGAUGUUAGAUUUCUUUCUUAACAAACAUGAAGGAAGACCCUGCCCUGUAGCAGGCAAGCUGGGUGUUAGCUGACAGUCUCCAACCUAACGUCUAUUCAGCAUAAUAAAUAUUAAUAAGUGCAGUAGACACUGCCAGGGCUCUGGCCAGCCCGUUGCAGAUCCCUUUAACUGUUUUGUCUGUACUCCCUUGAGUGUGCACCCCACGACUCACACCAGAGACUCUUCUUGGAGGUCUUUUCUCGGGCUACUGGAGCCACUUUUUCCACACUCAGGUUGCUAGAAGUGCCUGUGAGUUUAUAUCUUCCAUCUGGGGCAGUCCACGGCCAAGGUCUGAAGGAUGCAGGAGUGUGACAGCCCAGUUCCUUUGCCUGGAGUCCGGGAAACUCUGAGGCAUAACUCACACUCCUGAGUUCCCCUGUAGGAUCACACUGGAGCCACAGGACUUUGCCUGAAAGCAUACAUUUGCUUUGCCCAUCCCUACUUCCACAUCAGCCUUCCUGUGAGCAUGUCCUUAAUGAGUUGCUUACAUUCAACUCCUCAAUUAAGAGUCUGCUUCUGGGGCACCUGACCCAAGGCAAUAAGCUACUGAACAUCUGCUGAGAUGUCACAUGACGUUGAAGUUCUGAUAAUUAAAGCUAAAAAAAAACCUGACCAGAUUGUGCAUUCCAAUCAUUCACUAUUUUAACAGCCAUAAUAAUCAUACUAGUAACCUCUCAUUCAUGUGUCCAUCACGUGCAUUAUGUUCAAUUCUAAUCCUCAUAACCAAUGUAUACAUAGGUAGUUUUAUCCUUGUAACAGUUUUUUUCAAUGGCCACAAAUUUUUUGGUUCUCCUCCCAUGAAGAGGUAAAGUGUAGGUCCCCUUCCCUUGAAUCCCUUUACUUUUACAGAAAUCUGCUCAAUUUUGAUAAUGUGUCCCUUAGUUCCCAAGAUGUGGCCAUUCUAGGAUAUUCUUUCCCAAGUAAGGACAUUCAGCCGUGUGGGUUGGUUAACCUUAAAUUGCAUCUCUAAUAGACAGUAUAUAGUUGGCUCUUACUUUUAUAACUAGUUUGAUAAUCUCUGCCUUUUGACUAUUUAGUCCAUUUAUAUUUGAUGUGAUUAUUAAUAUAGCUUGAGUUGCUGCUAUUUUGCUAUUUGCUUUUUUUUGUUUCAUUUGAUUUUUGCUCCUCAGUAUCCCCUUUUUUUUGCAUUCUUAUGGUUUCAUAAAAUAUUUGAUUAAAUUUAGAAUUUAGAAUCUCAGAUUUUCUAGGCAAUUGCUCAGGUCAGUGAGCUCCAAACCCGGGAUUGUGAAAACGCUUUAAUUUCUGUAAUAGCAUGUUUUCCCUACUAUCCAGGAUGAUGUUUAUGAAGUCAAUAUCAGGCUGAAUUAUAUUCAAUUGUCAGGUAAAUAAGAUCUUUAGAAGUUAUUAAUUUGGAGUUUACUGAAACAGGAAUUUAUGAUUCUUCACUGUAUAGAGAUGUCUCCAUAUAAUCUAGGUAAAGGAGAAGUUACACAGCAUAAAAUAAAACAUUGGCUAAACCUUAGAGAAGCCAGCCUGCAGGCAAGAAGAAAUUCAGUAAGAAUGGGAAUUAUCACUCAUCUCAUUGGUAUACUAUAUUUUUUGGGCUUAUAAGUGUCCCCUACAAUCAGAUGGCACAUCUGUGAAACAUCUGAUUUGGGGAAAAACGGAUAAAAAUGUUUGCUGAUAUUUCUUUAACCUAUUUGUUUUAUAUAAAAUAAACUAAACUUUGUA